GAUGAACGCUGGCGGCGUGCCUAAUACAUGCAAGUCGAGCGAACAGACGAGGAGCUUGCUCCUCUGACGUUAGCGGCGGACGGGUGAGUAACACGUGGAUAACCUACCUAUAAGACUGGGAUAACUUCGGGAAACCGGAGCUAAUACCGGAUAAUAUAUUGAACCGCAUGGUUCAAUAGUGAAAGACGGUUUUGCUGUCACUUAUAGAUGGAUCCGCGCCGCAUUAGCUAGUUGGUAAGGUAACGGCUUACCAAGGCAACGAUGCGUAGCCGACCUGAGAGGGUGAUCGGCCACACUAGAACUGAGACACGGUCCAGACUCCUACGGGAGGCAGCAGUAGGGAAUCUUCCGCAAUGGGCGAAAGCCUGACGGAGCAACGCCGCGUGAGUGAUGAAGGUCUUCGGAUCGUAAAACUCUGUUAUUAGGGAAGAACAAAUGUGUAAGUAACUAUGCACGUCUUGACGGUACCUAAUCAGAAAGCCACGGCUAACUACGU
RNAcentral lists this ribosomal RNA (496 nucleotides) under uncultured bacterium. RNAcentral's name for it is "partial 16S ribosomal RNA". It matches the Rfam family "Bacterial small subunit ribosomal RNA", at positions 28 to 506 of the family's 1533-position model. The record is from RNAcentral.